Molecule: unclassified non-coding RNA, 307 nt
Filed under: plant metagenome
Description: partial contains 5.8S ribosomal RNA, internal transcribed spacer 2, and large subunit ribosomal RNA
Rfam family: 5.8S ribosomal RNA (bases 1-105)
Source: RNAcentral
GAAAUGCGAUAAGUAGUGUGAAUCGCAGAAUUCAGUGAAUCAUCGAAUCUUUGAACGCACAUUGCGCCCUUUGGUAUUCCAAAGGGCAUGCCUGUUCGAGCGUCAUUUGUACCCUCAAGCUUUGCUUGGUGUUGGGCGUCUUGUCUCUAGCUUUGCUGGAGACUCGCCUUAAAGUAAUUGGCAGCCGGCCUACUGGUUUCGGAGCGCAGCACAAGUCGCACUCUCUAUCAGCAAAGGUCUAGCAUCCAUUAAGCCUUUUUUCAACUUUUGACCUCGGAUCAGGUAGGGAUACCCGCUGAACUUAAGC